RNAcentral lists this ribosomal RNA (409 nucleotides) under bacterium. Its description in RNAcentral is "partial 16S ribosomal RNA". It matches the Rfam family "Bacterial small subunit ribosomal RNA", at positions 355 to 776 of the family's 1533-position model. The record is from RNAcentral.
UGGGGAAUAUUGCACAAUGGGCGAAAGCCUGAUGCAGCGACGCCGCGUGAGGGAUGACGGCCUUCGGGUUGUAAACCUCUUUCAGUAGGGACGAAGCGCAAGUGACGGUACCUGCAGAAGAAGCACCGGCUAACUACGUGCCAGCAGCCGCGGUAAUACGUAGGGUGCGAGCGUUGUCCGGAAUUACUGGGCGUAAAGAGCUCGUAGGCGGUUUGUCACGUCGUCUGUGAAAUCCUAGGGCUUAACCCUGGACGUGCAGGCGAUACGGGCUGACUUGAGUACUACAGGGGAGACUUGAAUUUCUGGUGUAGCGGUGGAAUGCACAGAUAUCAGGAAGAACACCGAUGGCGAAGGCAGGUCUCUGGGUAGUAACUGACGCUGAGGAGCGAAAGCAUGGGUAGCGAACAGG